AAUACAAGAAGAUAUUAUUAUAGCAGAGAGAAAGUGCAUAGUAUAGUGCUAAACCAGUAUAUAGUACGAAAACCACAAUGCAAAAACCCAUUUAAAAAAAAAAAAAAAGUAUACUGGUUUAGCACUAUACUAUGCACUUUCUCUCUGCUAUAAUGAUAUCUUGUUGUAUUU
This is a non-coding RNA of Pelobates cultripes (western spadefoot toad), 171 nucleotides long. Lineage: Eukaryota; Metazoa; Chordata; Amphibia; Anura; Pelobatidae. The record is from the annotation of a GenBank genome assembly.